UACGUAGGGGGCUAGCGUUAUCCGGAAUUACUGGGCGUAAAGGGUGCGUAGGUGGUUUCUUAAGUCAGAGGUGAAAGGCUACGGCUCAACCGUAGUAAGCCUUUGAAACUGGGAAACUUGAGUACUGGAGAGGAUAGUGGAAUUCCUAGUGUAGCGGUAAAAUGCGUAGAUAUUAGGAGGAACACCAGUGGCGAAGGCGACUAUCUGGACAGUAACUGACGCUGAGGCGCGAAAGCGUGGGGAGCAAACAGGAUUAGAUACCCCGGUAGUCCCUGAGCGGGCUGG
RNAcentral lists this ribosomal RNA (285 nucleotides) under uncultured prokaryote. RNAcentral describes it as "partial 16S ribosomal RNA". It matches the Rfam family "Bacterial small subunit ribosomal RNA", at positions 524 to 819 of the family's 1533-position model. The record is from RNAcentral.